GAAGUUUUCGGAUGGAUUUCAAGAUACCGAGUGGCGGACGGGUGAGUAACGCGUGGGUAACCUGCCUCAUACAGGGGGAUAACGGUUAGAAAUGACUGCUAAUACCGCAUAAGCGCACAGUACCGCAUGGUACAGUGUGAAAAACUCCGGUGGUAUGAGAUGGACCCGCGUCUGAUUAGCUAGUUGGUGGGGCAACGGCCCACCAAGGCGACGAUCAGUAGCCGACCUGAGAGGGUGACCGGCCACAUUGGGACUGAGACACGGCCCAGACUCCUACGGGAGGCAGCAGUGGGGGAUAUUGCACAAUGGAGGAAACUCUGAUGCAGCGACGCCGCGUGAGUGAAGAAGUAUUUCGGUAUGUAAAGCUCUAUCAGCAGGGAAGAAAAUGACGGUACCUGACUAAGAAGCCCCGGCUAACUACGUGCCAGCAGCCGCGGUAAUACGUAGGGGGCAAGCGUUAUCCGGAUUUACUGGGUGUAAAGGGAGCGUAGACGGCGACGCAAGUCUGAAGUGAAAUACCCGGGCUCAACCUGGGAACUGCUUUGGAAACUGUGUUGCUAGAGUGCUGGAGAGGUAAGCGGAAUUCCUAGUGUAGCGGUGAAAUGCGUAGAUAUUAGGAAGAACACCAGUGGCGAAGGCGG
Molecule: ribosomal RNA, 641 nt
Filed under: uncultured Lachnospiraceae bacterium
Lineage: Bacteria; Bacillati; Bacillota; Clostridia; Lachnospirales; Lachnospiraceae
Description: bacterial SSU rRNA
Rfam family: Bacterial small subunit ribosomal RNA
Source: RNAcentral